RNAcentral lists this long non-coding RNA (349 nucleotides) under Zostera marina. Its description in RNAcentral is "long non-coding RNA (ZMAR_LNC004204)". The record is from RNAcentral. Lineage: Eukaryota; Viridiplantae; Streptophyta; Magnoliopsida; Alismatales; Zosteraceae.
AGACAAUCCGCCUGGGCCCAGGCCGCUUCCCCGAGCAAACGCAAAUCGGAAAAGCCCGCCGAAAAGGCCAACGGAAGGUCCCCGGUGCCGCAAGGCCACACGGGAACGUCCGAAGGGCCCAGGCCGCUUCUCCGAAACAAACAAUUGAAGGGGAAAAGCGAGAGCGAAAGGCAAACGGGGAGCGAAAGCUAGAGGAAGGGGGAAAGCGACCAACGAUCAAGCAGAAAGCGAAAGAAGGUGGAUCUCGGCGGAGAGAAAGAAGGACGGACGACGGACGGACGACGGACGACGGACGGACGAGCAAAAGCAACGGACGACGGACGCGACGGACGACGGACGGACGAAAGGG